This 730-nucleotide ribosomal RNA is filed under the name uncultured bacterium. RNAcentral describes it as "bacterial SSU rRNA". It matches the Rfam family "Bacterial small subunit ribosomal RNA", at positions 771 to 1501 of the family's 1533-position model. The record is from RNAcentral.
AACAGGAUUAGAUACCCUGGUAGUCCACGCCGUAAACGAUGUCGACUUGGAGGUUGUUCCCUUGAGGAGUGGCUUCCGGAGCUAACGCGUUAAGUCGACCGCCUGGGGAGUACGGCCGCAAGGUUAAAACUCAAAUGAAUUGACGGGGGCCCGCACAAGCGGUGGAGCAUGUGGUUUAAUUCGAUGCAACGCGAAGAACCUUACCUACUCUUGACAUCCAGAGAACUUAGCAGAGAUGCUUUGGUGCCUUCGGGAACUCUGAGACAGGUGCUGCAUGGCUGUCGUCAGCUCGUGUUGUGAAAUGUUGGGUUAAGUCCCGCAACGAGCGCAACCCUUAUCCUUUGUUGCCAGCGGUUCGGCCGGGAACUCAAAGGAGACUGCCAGUGAUAAACUGGAGGAAGGUGGGGAUGACGUCAAGUCAUCAUGGCCCUUACGAGUAGGGCUACACACGUGCUACAAUGGCGUAUACAAAGAGAAGCGACCUCGCGAGAGCAAGCGGACCUCAUAAAGUACGUCGUAGUCCGGAUUGGAGUCUGCAACUCGACUCCAUGAAGUCGGAAUCGCUAGUAAUCGUAGAUCAGAAUGCUACGGUGAAUACGUUCCCGGGCCUUGUACACACCGCCCGUCACACCAUGGGAGUGGGUUGCAAAAGAAGUAGGUAGCUUAACCUUCGGGAGGGCGCUUACCACUUUGUGAUUCAUGACUGGGGUGAAGUCGUAACAAGGUAACC